GUACGAUGGGGAUGCGUUCCAUUAGGUAGUAGGCGGGGUAACGGCCCACCUAGCCUACGAUGGAUAGGGGUUCUGAGAGGAAGGUCCCCCGCAUUGGAACUGAGACACGGUCCAAACUCCUACGGGAGGCAGCAGUGAGGAAUAUUGGUCAAUGGACGAGAGUCUGAACCAGCCAAGUAGCGUGAAGGAUGAAGGUCCUACGGAUUGUAAACUUCUUUUAUAAGGGAAUAAAACCUCCCACGUGUGGGAGCUUGUAUGUACCUUAUGAAUAAGCAUCGGCUAACUCCGUGCCAGCAGCCGCGGUAAUACGGAGGAUGCGAGCGUUAUCCGGAUUUAUUGGGUUUAAAGGGAGCGCAGACGGGUCGUUAAGUCAGCUGUGAAAGUUUGGGGCUCAACCUUAAAAUUGCAGUUGAUACUGGCGUCCUUGAGUGCGGUUGAGGUGUGCGGAAUUCGUGGUGUAGCGGUGAAAUGCUUAG
This 476-nucleotide ribosomal RNA is filed under the name uncultured bacterium. Its description in RNAcentral is "bacterial SSU rRNA". It matches the Rfam family "Bacterial small subunit ribosomal RNA", at positions 220 to 693 of the family's 1533-position model. The record is from RNAcentral.